RNAcentral lists this long non-coding RNA (489 nucleotides) under Homo sapiens (human). RNAcentral describes it as "small nucleolar RNA host gene 27". The record is from RNAcentral. Lineage: Eukaryota; Metazoa; Chordata; Mammalia; Primates; Hominidae.
GAGACCAGUCCUGGCCAGGGCAGUUACCAGGACGGUCUCCGGAGGCCGGGAUUCGCGGAGGGUCCGCCAGGAGGAAGAAACCUCAGACAGAUCGCCGGGGACGCAGCGCGGGAUCCCAGCCUCAGGCGUGCACGGACGGUGUGCGGGAAGGGAGUGUAUCCUGGUGUAUGACAGCAUAUAGUAGAGACCAGUGUCAAUUAGGGCCUGUGAACUGAGACAGGGUGACUGGCUAAGUCCACAACCCAUUAGAAACCCAGAAAUAAUCAAAUCAUGGAGAGAUUAGUCCAGGGACAAUAAAUAUGGAUUAGGGAAGAAUGUGUUAACUCAGCAGGCCAGGGUUUCUUCAACCCUGCACAUUCAAAGAGGGAUCAUGGAAAGGAAGCUGAAUUUGCUGAGUUUUGCCACGUGGGCAUUGCAUGCCUAUGUGAUUAACCACCAAUAAAAACCUGGGACAUCAAAAAAUAAAUAAGCUGCUUUAAUUGCCAAGAA